Molecule: long non-coding RNA, 1001 nt
Filed under: Rhinolophus ferrumequinum (greater horseshoe bat)
Lineage: Eukaryota; Metazoa; Chordata; Mammalia; Chiroptera; Rhinolophidae
Description: lncRNA (ENSRFEG00010001050.1)
Source: RNAcentral
GAGUUGGUGGAUGACGUAGCUCUCACGUGACCAAGAGCUGACGUGUGCAGAAGUCCUUCUUGUUCUGGUCGUUGUUCCCGUCUGAGUACCAGCUCCCCAUUGCCCUGAGGGCGAGCGAGCCUGAGGCAGAGGGAAGAAGGAGGAGGAGAAGGAAACUGUCCCGGAUCCCUGCAGGUCAGUGCCUGGGAGAUUCCUUAAGGUGGGGGUGUUCGAGGGCGUAGGGCGGAGACCGUCGCGGGUCCUGAGGCGCCUCCGUCGUCUCUCCCACUCGCCACCGGCUUUACAAGACAUCUGUCCCGCCUGCAGCCCAUUCUGAUGCUGCGAAAUGGUGAGCAGGGGGUGUUUGGGGAGCAGCCCAGAAACCGGGAGGUGGGAAUCUGUUACGAGCUGAGGCCGUAAUCCGGAAAGGGAGAUGUGGCCUGGGUGUUGGCCCCCAGUCCUCUAGGGCACUGCUGGCGGGGAAAGCCUGGACAUGGGGGAGGGGGCGUGCAACGUGAUGUGUCAGCAGAGCCCUGAGAAGGGUAAUAAGGGUGGGAAACCUUUGACAGCUAGGCCUCCGAAUUAGGAAAGAGUUUCAUGUUCUGGGGACCGGUCCGUCCACCAAGCAUUCGGUAGCGGCUGUUUCCAGUCUUUCUGACUGUGGCUGUGUCUUCCUGACCGUGGCUCUGUGUUUAGUGGGUCCGAUCCUCUCCCAGUUGCCAGUGUUUCCAUAGUUUGCGACACUACGCCAGUCAAGUGAAGAGGAAGGAAAUUAACCCUGAUCAGUGAAGGUCGAUUUGAGGGUCUGCUGUAGCAGGUGGCACCACUUGAAGCAAGGGAGGAAGUUUCCUGGGACCAGUAGAGGUAGGUGUGGGCGUGGGGGCUGCCUGGAAUGGGGGAGGGGUUGGAAAUCCACUGCGAUUGGACAGGUUCACCCAAUCCUACCUUAUUUCCCUAACAGGGAAGGGGCAGGCCUGUGCAUAUUUUGGAUGGCAUAAAGAGGUUAUUAAGAAAAAAAUCUA